CCAAUUUCGAGUGUACCGAUAGACGAACAGCAAAAAUUAAUAAUUUUAAUGAAUUUUUUUAAUAUUAACACUUAAAACUGUGAAUUCUAAAUACCUCUGUGGACACAUAAAAAAAAAACUUCUGAAAAAGUCGCUUUUUACAUUUUUUACGAGCUUAAGACUACGGACUGCUUUCUUAGCAAAUUCCUUAAGGAAUCGAGUUAAGUCAUCGAACUAAGUCUGGUCCUACAAUUUUUAAUUUUUUUUUAAUAUUAGUGAUGGACUUGUAAGUUUUACUUAUAUUCUAUUUCAUGUCCAAACCAUUAAAAUUUCGAAAAAAUAAAAAUUCUUAAAAUUCCAUAUCAUAUUCAAUAAGAUAUAAUACAAUAAUCCUGAAAUCGUUCCGAUACUGGGUCUCGUUCCGCUAUAGGGUCUUUUACCUUAUAUACGAUACUUUAUAUUAUUAAAAAAUCGAAAUUUCAAGGAAUUGUAAAAAAUAAAUAUACCGUUCUGGUCAACUUAGAUAAAAAGAAUCAUACCUCCAUCCGACUUUUCCGGUAAUCGUUAGUAAAUACGGACGUAUUUAUGUACCGCUCCCGAGAAUACAAGUAUUUAAAUAAUAAAUACGUUGAGAUACAGUAUAACGUACGGCGGUUAAGUUUACAUCGCAGAUAUAAGGAUGAAGUGACCAGUGUGUUCUAGUGAGGGUGACACUGUACACCCUCGCGAGUAACCGCGUGUUUUUUCAAGCCUAUGACAAAAAUCUUUGAUCAUGAAAAUUAACAACAUCCCACCUCUUCAAAUAGUUAAUAACGGUAGCAGUUACAUUAUUCGAACAAGAGCUAAUACCCGAAAUAGGUCAACCGUCGAUGGAAACAAAACAAUCCUCUAACCUUGCUCGUACAGAAAAGAGAAUAAUCAAAAUAGAUAAUAGAAACUCGAGUAUGGAAAAUGAGAUGGAUCAGACUCGGAAGAUUCGUAAAACUGGAUUCCCGCUAAAUCAACUAAAUUACAAGGUUCAAAAAAGCGCAAAAUGGAUGAAACAAAAAACAAAAAAAGCAAUAUAGUUAAAAUAACAAAUUAAUUAGACAAACUUGGUCACAAGGAAAAUAACAAAAACAUAUAUGAAAUUAACACCCUUUUGAAUACAAUAAUUAAAGUCGAACCACCUAAAACAAAAAGAGAAAUACUACGAUGCACAUGAUACUUAUGGACACACAAAAAAUUAUUGCAAUCGAAAUCCUGCCUGUGUCAAAUGUGCACAGAAACAUCUAACAACACACUCUGUUCUCAACAGGGCAAAAUCUAAAAUGUCAAAUGUGCAAAUUAUAAAAAUAAUGUACAAAAGAAUAAAACGAAUAAUUUCUGACAAAAACCUUUCUAACUGAACAUUCUACGUAAAAAUCAAAGACACUCAUUCGAACAUCAUACUAAUCAGAGCUGAGCUGUCGCAGGGAAAUAUCCUCUGACCAAUUCUCUACACCCUCUAUACGGCAGACAUACCAAUAAAAGCAAAGUGCAUAAUCUUAACAUUUCUGAAUGACACAGCAAUGCUUACCAUAAUCAAAGACCCGCAACAAGCAAAUUAAUCGUUACAAAAACAAAUCAACUCUCUCGAAGAAUGGUUACGUAAUAGGAAGAUCAAGGUAAACUCUAUCAAGUGUAAGCAUAUUACGUUUACACUGAGGAAAAACCAAAUACCGAAACUACAACUAUAUAAUACAGAAAUUCCGCAAGUAACGACGGUCAAGUAUUUAAGACUACAUUAAGAUUUCAAAUUAACAUGGAAAAAGCAUAUAUUAGGUUGACAAGAAAGUAAUUUCGGAUUUUUAGUGUGAAAUAAAACUUGAAUUUUCUAUACAAAAAA
Molecule: long non-coding RNA, 1846 nt
Filed under: Polistes fuscatus (common paper wasp)
Lineage: Eukaryota; Metazoa; Arthropoda; Insecta; Hymenoptera; Vespidae
Description: uncharacterized LOC122526747
Source: RNAcentral